RNAcentral lists this ribosomal RNA (250 nucleotides) under uncultured bacterium. RNAcentral describes it as "partial 16S ribosomal RNA". It matches the Rfam family "Bacterial small subunit ribosomal RNA", at positions 355 to 596 of the family's 1533-position model. The record is from RNAcentral.
UGGGGAAUCUUGCGCAAUGGACGAAAGUCUGACGCAGCGACGCCGCGUGGGUGAAGAAGGCCUUCGGGUUGUAAAGCCCUGUCGAGUGAGAAAAACACCCAGUAGAUUAAUACGCUAUUGGUUUGAUUGUAUCACUAAAGGAAGCACCGGCUAACUCUGUGCCAGCAGCCGCGGUAAUACAGAGGGUGCAAGCGUUGUUCGGAAUUAUUGGGCGUAAAGGGCAGGUAGGUGGUCUUAAAAGUCUACUGUG